UGGGGAAUUUUGGACAAUGGGCGAAAGCCUGAUCCAGCAAUGCCGCGUGUGUGAAGAAGGCCUUCGGGUUGUAAAGCACUUUUGUCCGGAAAGAAAUCCUUGGCUCUAAUACAGUCGGGGGAUGACGGUACCGGAAGAAUAAGCACCGGCUAACUACGUGCCAGCAGCCGCGGUAAUACGUAGGGUGCAAGCGUUAAUCGGAAUUACUGGGCGUAAAGCGUGCGCAGGCGGUUUGCUAAGACCGAUGUGAAAUCCCCGGGCUCAACCUGGGAACUGCAUUGGUGACUGGCAGGCUAGAGUAUGGCAGAGGGGGGUAGAAUUCCACGUGUAGCAGUGAAAUGCGUAGAGAUGUGGAGGAAUACCGAUGGCGAAGGCAGCCCCCAUGGGCCAAUACUGACGCUCAUGCACGAAAAGCGUGGGGAGC
Molecule: ribosomal RNA, 424 nt
Filed under: uncultured bacterium
Lineage: Bacteria
Description: partial 16S ribosomal RNA
Rfam family: Bacterial small subunit ribosomal RNA
Source: RNAcentral